UCUCCUCACCAGCAUUGAGAGAAUUUUUCUCUUUUUGCUUCGAAUUUCUUUCAAAUAUUCCGUGAACAAAAAAGAAAGAAAAUCGUUUCCACGAAAAAAAAAAAAAAAAAACCCUAAGCUGCCGCAAAAACAAAAAAAACUCCGUUUACGAUUCUCUUUUCCACAACCUUCAUCCUCUUUGAGAAGUUUAACAGAAUCUAUCCAACCUUCAUCCUCAAAGAAAAAAAACUCUUAACACACUAUUUCACUGAGUAACGAUAUCAAGUUCAAAAUCUUCAUGUGGCAAACCUAGGGUUUUAUUAAUCCUAUAAGUGUUUGAAGUAGAAGUUGUUCGAGCAAUCCAAGGGUUUUAUUAAUCCCAAACGAUAUCUUCAUUAUCAUUAUUAAGCAAAGACUGAAACCAUUUUUUUUUUGUAGGUUAGGGCUAGGGUUCUCUGAUGCAGGGACGGACCUAAGAAAGAUAAAUUUCCUUUUAAGACCCGGGCUAAAAGCCUUGGUCCAUCAAAAAAAAAAAAGAAAUUAGCUGUAGGUCCGUCAUUGCUCUCAUGGUUGCAAAGACGAAGAAGCAGCAAGUUCCGUUUUUGUUGUCAUAUUAAUCUUAUUUUUUCGUCAUUAGAAUCAUCUCUAUUUUGAUUACUUCCUAACUGAAACCACUUUUUGUGUUUUUAUUUUGUAGGUUAGAGCUUACUUCCUCUUAAAAGGGUAGCAUCAAUGGUUAUCUAUUUUUUAUUUCAGUGGAUAAGAUAUUUAACAAAUCAUAUAAUCAUACAUAACCGGUUCAUUAAUUCAGGAACAACAUAAUUAAUAUUUGCAACUAUUACUAUCUAACUGCUUCAUAUUCAAGGUUUGAAUUUUAUUCUGUAUGGAAUGAUUUUACAUGAGAGUAAUACAUGGGUCCAGUCACAUAGGAGAAUUCUGUGUGGAAUUAUCAUAUUUUUAUGUUUUAUUUGAUUUUUGAGUUAGCUUUCUACAUUGUUUAGUUAGCUCAGGUAUAUGAAAAACUCUGUCAUGAUGCAUAGCGGUGGCAAUAAGCUUAUGGCAGAGUGAUAAUUUCAGUAAUGCAUGGAUAUCAGUUCCCCUUCAAGAAAAGUUAGCAGUCCUUCAAGUCAUAGAUUAAAUUGCUUGGUUUAUUAAAAUACAAUAAUUUGUGACACCGAUUCGUAUUAUUUUUAUUAUUGAUUUGCAGCCCAUGACUCCAAUUGACCGUGUUAUUCAGGUGAAGGGUCAUAUCCAAAAGCUGAAACAAUUGAAGUGUCAUGGUAACUAAAUUAUUAAUGGUAUGAAACGACUCUUCUUUCAUCUUCAAGGUUGCAUAUUAUGGCUGCUUGAUGGCGUGAAGCUAUAAUAGGGUGCUACUAGAAAGACUGAAGGGAUAGUUGCUACUAGAAAUACUGAAGAUGAUUCCUCCCUAGACUAAUCAUUCUGCAUACAAUUUGUCUUUCAAAAUCAAGAUGCAAAAGACUAUAAAAAUUCUAAUCAGAAGCGUUAGGAGUUGCUGCUUUUCAUCAAGGCUUAACAAGUUGGUCGUAGUUGUUCAGGAGGAAUUCGGAACCUAUGAAUAUGCAAGACGGUGUACAUUCGAGUAUCAUUGUUAAUGAUUGAACUCUUCAUACUUGGUGAAACGAUAUGCAUGUGAUCUCCUUUAAAAGAUGGAGGCGUAUGGGGUCACCUUCAUCAUUACAUCAAGUCACUUGCAUGUGUACACCCGGAACAGAGUGCGCUAUUAAUUAUUGGUGACAUUUAGUAGUGAAUGUACUUUCCACCAUGGAUACAAGAAGUCUAAUCAUUGUGAAGUUAAUAAUUGCACAUGGAUACUGACCGUAAAGGAAUUUCAUGUAAUGCAUAGCUGUUUUAUUUGCUUUGAAUUUCAUGGGCAGUAAACUCAUCUUUCAAGGAAUUUCAUGGGCAGUAAACUGGGGAGAGGCUGUUUUAUUUGCUUUGUCAGAUGGUUGCAACCAUUUAAUAGUCACUAAAGAUGGUACAAGUUGAAAUAGCUCCAGAGGUUAUCGAACGUAGCUUUAGUGGGCACAUUAAAGUGAUAGUCCAAAAUAAAUAAGAAUUAUAGGUCGCUAUUUCAUCGAACUUUCCAAGAUGAAAAUGAGAAGCCAAGUGGGAUAUGUGGCAUGUGAUCUACAAUGUACAAGUGUAUUUCAGUAAAGUCAAAUUUAGAGAUAGCCAUAAUAUUUUUCUAAUUUUACAUGCUAAAAUAUGUGUUUCUGUCUCUUAAACUCUACGACUGAAACUAUUGAUGGUGCCAUUCUCUAGAGACAGUGGAGCUGUGAUAUUCGUCUACCUGAAUUUAAAGGUGGGUUGAAAAAUUUUAUCAGGAUUUUGAUCUUUGAUACAGAAAAAUACUGAAGAAUACAUAAUUUUCCCCGUUUUUCUAUGUAUAACAGUGUUAGUGACAUUCGUCCAUUUUUGGAUUUUGAUCCAUUUAACACGACGCCUUACCGUAUGUAUUCUCAUUGACAUGGUAUAUGGCUGAAAGUGUAGCCAUUCAAAAAAGUCAUCGAACUGAUCACUGCAAUUUUAUUCAUUGCAUUUGAAUAC
Molecule: long non-coding RNA, 2550 nt
Organism: Papaver somniferum (opium poppy)
Lineage: Eukaryota; Viridiplantae; Streptophyta; Magnoliopsida; Ranunculales; Papaveraceae
Exons: 6
Source: RefSeq, a predicted model, not a curated record